Molecule: ribosomal RNA, 320 nt
Filed under: uncultured eukaryote
Lineage: Eukaryota
Description: partial 18S ribosomal RNA
Rfam family: Eukaryotic small subunit ribosomal RNA
Source: RNAcentral
CCCCUAGAUGUUCUGGGCCGCACGCGCGCUACACUGAACAGUUCAACAAGUCUUAACCUUGGCCGAUAGGUCUGGGUAAUCUUUGAACGCUGUUCGUGAUUGGGAUAGACCUUUGCAAUUAUGGGUCUUCAACGAGGAAUUCCUAGUAAACGCAAGUCAUCAGCUUGCAUUGAUUACGUCCCUGCCCUUUGUACACACCGCCCGUCGCACCUACCGAUUGAAUGGUCCGGUGAAAUCUCGGGACGGCGGCUUGGGCGCUUGCGUCCGACUGCUGAAACUUGAUUAAACCAUAUCAUUUAGAGGAAGGUGAAGUCGUANCA